AGGACGUUGGUGUCUAUUUUACUUUAGUGCGAUUCAGCCAUACAGUGAUGAAUGAUUUAGUUUGUCUUUAUUAGUAGAUAUACUGAUAUCAGCUAAACAGUUCAGCUCUCUGGUGGACAGGAUAGGAUUAGCUUUCGGAUAGAUGGGUAUCACCGUCCUGACUUUUUGAAGACAGACUGACCACAUUUAAACAGGAUAAGUUCAGCGUAGGUCUCUUGGGGGUCUUGGUAACUGUUCUGCAGGGUAACUGAGACAGACAGACGUAGCUACAUGAGCCAGACACAGCAGACACGGAUUAAGGCGCAUCUAUGAUACGUAGGUAUGACAGUCAUCUGCUGUCAGAGUCAGAUUUCAGUGGCGGUGUUGCCCACCCUGGAUCUACUCCCAGCACUUAUAAAGUGAUCCAGUAGACUGACUUCAGUUUCCUUGAUCCUGCUAUGCAACCAACCUUGAAACACCACCAAGUCCAACUCAUCAGGUCCUUACUGACACUCGAUGUAAAAAGAUAAAAAACUUGGCACAAUUUCAUGCCUCGCCCUAAUGCUUCUGCCUUUGUUGACUGAUUGAUUACCAUCUUCUUUUUAGUAAAUAUGUGGGGCAUUUAACAGGCGCUUAGCUUGUUUU
Molecule: long non-coding RNA, 624 nt
Organism: Oreochromis aureus
Lineage: Eukaryota; Metazoa; Chordata; Actinopteri; Cichliformes; Cichlidae
Source: Ensembl